GGACCGGUGGGUUGGUCGUGCCUCCGGUACGUACUGGUCUUACUGGUUCCUCCCUUCUGAAGAACCACGAUGUCAUUAAUUUGGUGUCGUGGGGAAUCAGGACUGUUACUUUGAAAAAAUUAGAGUGUUUAAAGCAGGCUAAAGCUUGAAUAGAUUAGCAUGGAAUAACGAAAUAGGACGUUUGAUUCUAUUUUGUUGGUUUCUAGGAUCGACGUAAUGAUUAAUAGGGAUAGUUGGG
Molecule: ribosomal RNA, 238 nt
Filed under: uncultured Glomus
Lineage: Eukaryota; Fungi; Glomeromycota; Glomeromycetes; Glomerales; Glomeraceae
Description: partial small subunit ribosomal RNA
Rfam family: Eukaryotic small subunit ribosomal RNA (bases 47-238)
Source: RNAcentral